UGUGUAGGCGGUUGUUUAAGUUUGGUGUGAAAUCUCCCGGCUCAACUGGGAGGGUGCGCCGAAUACUGAAUGACUUGGAGUACGGGAGAGGAAAGUGGAAUUCCUGGUGUAGCGGUGAAAUGCGUAGAUAUCAGGAGGAACACCGGUGGUGUAGACGGCUUUCUGGACCGUAACUGACGCUGAGACACGAAAGCGUGGGUAGCAAACAGGAUUAGAUACCCUGGUAGUCCACGCCCUAAACGAUGCAUAUUUGGUGUGGGCAGUUCAUUCUGUCUGUGCCGGAGCUAACGCGUUAAAUAUGCCGCCUGGGGAGUACAGUCGCAAGGCUGAA
Molecule: ribosomal RNA, 331 nt
Filed under: uncultured bacterium
Lineage: Bacteria
Description: bacterial SSU rRNA
Rfam family: Bacterial small subunit ribosomal RNA
Source: RNAcentral